Molecule: transfer RNA, 73 nt
Filed under: Acanthaster planci (crown-of-thorns starfish)
Lineage: Eukaryota; Metazoa; Echinodermata; Asteroidea; Valvatida; Acanthasteridae
Description: tRNA-Val
Rfam family: tRNA
About the family: Transfer RNA (tRNA) molecules are approximately 80 nucleotides in length. Their secondary structure includes four short double-helical elements and three loops (D, anti-codon, and T loops). Further hydrogen bonds mediate the characteristic L-shaped molecular structure. tRNAs have two regions of fundamental functional importance: the anti-codon, which is responsible for specific mRNA codon recognition, and the 3' end, to which the tRNAs corresponding amino acid is attached (by aminoacyl-tRNA synthetases). tRNAs cope with the degeneracy of the genetic code in two manners: having more than one tRNA (with a specific anti-codon) for a particular amino acid; and 'wobble' base-pairing, i.e. permitting non-standard base-pairing at the 3rd anti-codon position.
Source: Rfam by way of RNAcentral
GAUUCUGUAGUGUAGCGGUUAUCACAUUCGCUUCACACGCGAAAGGUCCCCGGUUCGAACCCGGGCGGAAUCA